Molecule: long non-coding RNA, 890 nt
Organism: Gasterosteus aculeatus aculeatus (three-spined stickleback)
Lineage: Eukaryota; Metazoa; Chordata; Actinopteri; Perciformes; Gasterosteidae
Source: Ensembl
CCACACAGCGGAUACAAUCCGCUUCCUGCUACACUGCUUUGGUCAACAGCACACAACAAAAAAAGGGUCAUGAGUUGAAAGCUCGGGCCAUUAACUGAAAGCUUUUUAUUUUGGUCGUUGACGGCGUGAAGGGGGUUCGCGGUGUGUCACAGUUCCUUGUGCCUCAGCUGACCGGCCAACGCGAAGAGUGAAGCAGGUGCAUCGAUACCGAGAAGGAGUCCAUCAUCAUGUGAAGAUCACACUUUCAUAUCUAGUACCGAGGUUCAUACUGUGACAUACUUUAUCAGGUUGAUAAUGAAUAUCAAGCUACAUUUGAGGAGGUAAACUGAUUUAGUCAAUACCUGGAAUACGUUACCUUACACUGUGCGUCUUUAGUCUCCGUCAUGUCCUCAUCUUCCAAUACUUUUUGGCAAAUGGGAACACACUGAAACCUCCAGAUUGAUAACGUCUGCAUAAAUAUGCAUCAGGGUAAGGAUAACUUCACUCAAAGACAUGUAUUGUUCUGUACAGUCAGUACAGAAGAGGUCAGUAACGGAAAUGACUGCAUCUUGCAGAGUAUUUUUGUUCACCCUUGGUGAGCUUUAACCUACCAGAAUGGGCCUUUUGUUUUCAGGAACGUUGGGGGACUAAGAGGACGUCUGGCUUUGGGCCGAGGCCGAGCCUUCUUCCAUGGGAGAACGACUGCUUGUUUGUUAACGCCAGAAAGCUCCCACGUGGUGAAAGGAACUCCGAUAAGCUUUUUCAUUGAACCGAAUGGCAAGUGCUCUGAGACAGAUUGUGUUAGAUUUACCUCCUCUUAUCUUUGUUAUGGUUGUAUAUAAUUAUGCCCGACAUGGCAUGCAGUAUGAGGCUUUGUCUGAAGUCGGAAUUGGUUCAUAACUUUUCCCUCG